GACGAACGCUGGCGGCGUGCUUAACACAUGCAAGUCGAACGGAAAGGCCCUGCUUUUGUGGGGUGCUCGAGUGGCGAACGGGUGAGUAACACGUGAGUAACCUGCCCUUGACUUUGGGAUAACUUCAGGAAACUGGGGCUACUACCGGAUAGGAGCUCCUGCUGCAUGGUGGGGGUUGGAAAGUUUCGGCGGGUGGGGAUGGACUCGCGGCUUAUCAGCUUGUUGGUGGGGUAGUGGCUUGCCAAGGCUUUGACGGGUAGCCGGCCUGAGAGGGUGACCGGCCACAUUGGGACUGAGAUACGGCCCAGACUCCUACGGGAGGCAGCAGGGGGGAAUAUUGCACAAUGGGCGGAAGCCUGAUGCAGCAACGCCGCGGGCGGGAUGACGGCCUUCGGGUUGUAAACCGCUUUCGCCUGUGACGAAGCGUGAGUGACGGUAAUGGGUAAAGAAGCACCGGCUAACUACGUG
RNAcentral lists this ribosomal RNA (468 nucleotides) under uncultured bacterium. RNAcentral's name for it is "partial 16S ribosomal RNA". It matches the Rfam family "Bacterial small subunit ribosomal RNA", at positions 28 to 507 of the family's 1533-position model. The record is from RNAcentral.